RNAcentral lists this ribosomal RNA (498 nucleotides) under uncultured bacterium. RNAcentral describes it as "bacterial SSU rRNA". It matches the Rfam family "Bacterial small subunit ribosomal RNA", at positions 29 to 508 of the family's 1533-position model. The record is from RNAcentral.
AGCGAACGUUAGCGGCGGGCCUAACACAUGCAAGUCGAGCGAGAAAGGGGCUUCGGCCCUCAGUAAAGCGGCGGACGGGUGAGUAACACGUAGGUAAUCUUCCCUUGAGCGGGGGACAACGGUCCGAAAGGACCGCUAAUACCGCAUACGUUUCCGAGGACCUCGGUCUUUGGAAGGAAAGCUAGGCCGCAAGGUCCGGCACUCGAGGAGCAGCCUGCGUCGCAUCAGCUAGUUGGUGGGGUAAUGGCCUACCAAGGCGAAGACGCGUAGCUGGUCUGAGAGGAUGAUCAGCCACACUGGGACUGAGACACGGCCCAGACUCCUACGGGAGGCAGCAGUGGGGAAUAUUGGACAAUGGGCGCAAGCCUGAUCCAGCCACGCCGCGUGAGUGAUGAAGGCCUUCGGGUCGUAAAGCUCUGUGGGGAGGGACGAACCGCUGCGCGUGCAUAGCGCGCAGCAUGACGGUACCUCCUUAGCAAGCACCGGCUAACUUCGUGC